CACCAGGGCACGGGUGACGGAAAAUUAGGGUGUUGGUCGAUUAAGACAGCAGGACGGUGGUCAUGGAAGCCGAAAUCCGCUAAGGAGUGUGUAUCAACUCACCUGCCGAAUUAACUAGCCCCGAAAAUGGAUGGCUCUUAAGCGCGCGACCUACACCCGGCCGUCGGGGCAAGUGCCAGGCCCCGAUG
This 188-nucleotide non-coding RNA is filed under the name Nicotiana attenuata. RNAcentral describes it as "rRNA LSU_rRNA_eukarya". It matches the Rfam family "Eukaryotic large subunit ribosomal RNA", at positions 1190 to 1379 of the family's 3401-position model. The record is from Rfam by way of RNAcentral. Lineage: Eukaryota; Viridiplantae; Streptophyta; Magnoliopsida; Solanales; Solanaceae.